This 300-nucleotide ribosomal RNA is filed under the name uncultured bacterium. RNAcentral describes it as "bacterial SSU rRNA". It matches the Rfam family "Bacterial small subunit ribosomal RNA", at positions 497 to 793 of the family's 1533-position model. The record is from RNAcentral.
CUAACUCCGUGCCAGCAGCCGCGGUAAUACGGAGGGUGCGAGCGUUAAUCGGAAUUACUGGGCGUAAAGCGCAUGCAGGUGGUUUGUUAAGUCAGAUGUGAAAGCCCGGGGCUCAACCUCGGAAUUGCAUUUGAAACUGGCAAACUAGAGUACUGUAGAGGGGGUAGGAAUUUCAGGUGUAGCGGUGAAAUAGCGUAGAGAUCUGAAGGAAUACCGGUGGCGAAGGCGGCCCCCUGGACAGAUACUGACACUCAGAUGCGAAACGCGUCGGGGAGCAAACAGGAUUAGAUACCCUGGUAG